UACGAGGGGGGCGAGCGUUGUUCGGAAUUAUUGGGCGUAAAGGGUGCGUAGGCGGUUCAGUAAGUCUUGUGUGAAAUCUUCGGGCUCAACUCGAAGUCUGCAUGAGAAACUGCUGGGCUUGAGUAUGGGAGAGGCGCGUGGAAUUGCAGGUGUAGCGGUGAAAUGCGUAGAUAUCUGCAGGAACACCCGUGGCGAAAGCGGCGCGCUGGACCACUACUGACGCUGAGGAACGAAAGCUAGGGGAGCAAACAG
RNAcentral lists this ribosomal RNA (252 nucleotides) under uncultured bacterium. RNAcentral describes it as "partial 16S ribosomal RNA". It matches the Rfam family "Bacterial small subunit ribosomal RNA", at positions 524 to 775 of the family's 1533-position model. The record is from RNAcentral.